RNAcentral lists this ribosomal RNA (253 nucleotides) under uncultured bacterium. RNAcentral describes it as "partial 16S ribosomal RNA". It matches the Rfam family "Bacterial small subunit ribosomal RNA", at positions 524 to 776 of the family's 1533-position model. The record is from RNAcentral.
UACGGAGGGGGCUAGCGUUGUUCGGAAUUACUGGGCGUAAAGCGCACGUAGGCGGCUUUGUAAGUUAGAGGUGAAAGCCUGGUGCUCAACACCAGAACUGCCUUUAAGACUGCAUCGCUUGAACACGGGAGAGGUGAGUGGAAUUCCGAGUGUAGAGGUGAAAUUCGUAGAUAUUCGGAAGAACACCAGUGGCGAAGGCGGCUCACUGGACCGUUGUUGACGCUGAGGUGCGAAAGCGUGGGGAGCAAACGGG